AUGACAGAAAUUGGGGGCAUGCUUGCCUCUGCCGUCCUCAAGGUGGUGACCCAGCAGAUUGGGUCAGUCAUUGGAAGCCAAGUUAGGAUGCAGAGGAACUUCAGUGAUGACCUUGAAAAGUUGAGGAUGCUGCUGGAGUCGGUAGAGGCGGUGCUCAAGGACGCUGAGAGGCGGUCAAUCAAGGACGCGGCAGUGCGUUUGUGGCUUGAGCGCCUCAAGAAUUCCAUGUAUGACAUCUCCAAUGUGAUUGAUGAGUUUGAAGCAAACACCAAACCAGCUGCUCGAAAGUUUGCAAUUAUGGUUUCCUGUCAUACAGUUGUUUCCAAGAUUACUAUGGCUAAUAAGAUGAAGAAGAUGACAGAGCAACUGGAGACCAUCACAAGUCAACACCGGAGUUUUAGUUUCACAACAGACAUUAGGUCUAACGUGCAGCGAUUUGUUGAUGUACGGGAAACAUCUUCAAAUGUGGAAGAAGCACUCAUAGUAGGAAGAAUUGAAGAAAAACAUAAAAUUAUGGCUUCCUUAUGUAAGAGCAUGGCACAAGAGAUCAUCCUACCAAUAUAUGGCAUUGGGGGUAUUGGCAAGACAACGUUAGCACAAUGGGUUUUCAAUUGUAGCCACUUCAAAGACUAUUGCAAGGUCUGGAUUUAUGUGUCACAGAAGUUUGACUUGAAUAAAAUUGGCAACUCCAUACUUUCUCAAAUAUCGGAGGAGCAGAUCCAGAUGACUGAAAGGCAGAUGAUAAAUAAUCGCCUCGGAAAGCUGCUUGCUGGUAAGAAGAUUCUGAUUAUUUUGGAUGACCUGUGGGAGAAGGAUCCAUCUCAGCUAGCAGAUUUACAGUGUAUGCUAAAGGUUGGCGGGGGGCACAAAGUGGUUGUAGUAACCACACGCGAUGAAGAGAUUGCAAUGAAAAUGUGUACAGUUGAACCAUUCAAGAUGGAGCCCUUAACCAAUGAUCUUUGCUGGACAAUAGUCAAACAAAAAUGUGCCUUUGAAUUUAGAGCUGAUAAAGAAAGGUUGGAACUGAUAGGGAGGGAGAUCGCAAAGAAGUGCGGAGGUGUGGCAUUAGCAGCUCAAUCCAUUGGGUACAUGUUACAGUCUAUGACAUAUGAUGAAUGGAGAUUGGUGAAAAACAGUGAUAUCUGGAACAUACUUGCUGCUGAAGAUGCAUCUUCACCUCAUCACGUGCCUGCAUCAUUGAAGUUAAGCUAUAGCAGUAUGCCUCCACUCUUAAAGUUAUGCUUUGCUUAUUGUGCAACCUUUCCUAAAGGUCACAGUAUAGUUAAAGAUGAUCUGAUUCAUCAGUGGAGUUCUCUUGGUUUUAUCAAGCCAGUGAACAUAUUCUCUACGAGGCAGCUUGGUGAGAAUUAUGUUAGUCAUCUAUUGGGCAUGUCCUUCCUUCAAUAUUCCAAGUCAGAUUUGACUGGACGAUUGCACGACAAAGAUGUUACUUUGUUCACCAUGCAUGACCUGGUGCAUGACCUUGCAAGAUCAAUCAUGGCUAAUGAAGUUCUGGAUGCUAGCAAAAAUGGAAGUAUUGGGGGAAGCAGUUGCCUGUACGCAAUGCUCACAGAUUGCAGCAAGCCACUGAAUUUAUCUGUGAUCUCUCCUGCGAAGAUAAGGACUCUGCGUUUCCUGGACUGUGGAAAAAUUGUUGUUUGUGGGGCUGCAUUUUCGUCAGCUAAGUACCUGCGGGUCUUAGACUUAAGUGAAUGCUCCAUACAGAAGUUGCCACAUUCUAUUGGUCGACUAAAGUAUUUGAGAUAUCUUAAUGCUCCACGCAUGCAAGAUCAAAUGAUCCCCAAGUGUAUCACAAAGCUCUCAAAAUUAAACUACCUCAACUUGCGUGGAUCUUCUAAACUUUUAGCACUGCCUGAAUCAAUGGGUAAUAUCGAAGAUCUGCUGCAUCUCGAUUUAUCGGGUUGUUGGAGAAUAGAAAAACUCCCGAAAUCAUUUGUAGAGCUCACAUCAUUGGUACAUCUAGAUUUAUCGCAAUGUUAUAUGGUUGAUGGUAUUCCGGAAGCUUUGCGAGUCUUUACCAAACUCCAAUAUUUGAAUUUGUCACUGCGCUAUUGGAUCCAAGCAGACAGGCAGCAUCUCAGAGGGCUACCAGAAGUCAUUGGCAAUCUCACCAAACUCCGAUAUUUAAAUCUAUCAUGGUGCAUGCGUGCUAUCUUUGCUGUCCCAUCAACAGAUAAAAUUAACAGUUCCCCUGGCCGGUGUUCUAUCUCUGAGAAUUCAUCAACAGAUCAAACUGACAGUUUCAUGGACCAUAUCUCUACACUUUCCAAUCUAGAGCAUCUGGACUUGUCUGAGAAUAUAUAUCUUGUUAGUAUACCUGAAUGUGUAGGCAGCCUUAGGAAGCUACACACACUGGACCUUUCAGGGUGUGAUGAAUUAGCAAGGCUUCCAGACAGUAUGGUUGAAAUGGAUAGUCUGAAGAUUCUAAAUGUAAAGGGCUGCCACGAACUGGAUAAUUCCAUUCUCUUUCGCUUCAACCUUUUCGCCUUGUUGCCACACUUUGUGGUGCAUGCCGGUGAUGGCGAAUCUAGCAGCAACUUUGUCCUGCUUCAGCAUGCAAAUCCUGAUGAACUGCAGAUAAGUAGAAUUGAAAAUGUGAAAUCUACGGAAGAGGUUCAGAGUAUAAAACUGGUGGAAAAACAAAGAAUAGUAGAAUUGAAAUUAGAAUGGACUGCAUAUGCUGAGAAGUUUGUGGAUGACUUGGAAGUGUUGGGAGAGUUAGUGCCACCGAGCACUUUAAAGAAAUUUGAGAUACAAGGUUAUAAUUGUGUCGACUUUCCAGCUUGGGUAUUGGAUAUUAGUCAUUACCUCCCAAAUCUUGUCAGCAUUAUGAUGGUGCAUUUGCCCAAAUGUAAUAACCUACCACCACUUGGCCAAUUACCAAACCUACAAUCAUUGGUACUUGAAAGAAUGCACAACAUUAUGAAAAUUGAUGAGGGCUUUACUGGUGGGGCGAGAGCAUUUCUUCGACUGGAGAGAUUAGAACUAACUGGUAUGGAAGGUCUGGAAGAAUGGACCACAAUAUACUCCAGUGGUGAGGAUGGUACGAACAAGCUCAUGUUCCCCAACCUUGAGAUAUUGAGGAUACGUGACUGCCCUAAGUUGAGGUUGAAACCUUGUCUACCUAGAGCUGCCUACUGGGUGAUAUGGAACAGUGAUAAUGUACUAUUGACACAGGGAGAGAGUGUGACGUGCACCAGUGCUUCCUCUUCUCCAGUAACUACAUUGGAUGUUGGGUCCUGCGAGCUGCCUCUGCAUCAGUGGAGGUUACUUCACCACCUCCCUGCGCUCUGUAAAUUAACUAUCAGCGAUUGCAAUGAUCUGACCAGCUCUUCAGACAUCAUUCGAGCUCUCUCCUCCCUCCAAUCACUGCAUAUCUCCUCUUGGAGAAGUAUGGCAUCACUCCCACUGUGGUUAGGAGAACUCAACUCUCUCAAGAAAUUUGAGAUCUGGGGAUUCAAGGGUAUUGGAGCUUUUCUAGAGAUCAUACAGCAGCUCACCAACCUCAAAGAACUACAAACAGUUUUUUGUCCUGAAUUAAAGCAGUGGUGUGAAUCAAAGGAGAACAAGCUGAAACUCGCUCACAUAAAAGAAACGAUUCUUUGGUAG
Molecule: ribosomal RNA, 3630 nt
Filed under: Triticum aestivum (bread wheat)
Lineage: Eukaryota; Viridiplantae; Streptophyta; Magnoliopsida; Poales; Poaceae
Description: partial small subunit ribosomal RNA
Source: RNAcentral